ACAGAGGGGGCAAGCGUUAUUCGGAAUUAUUGGGCGUAAAGGGCGCGUAGGCGGUGUCUUAAGUGAGAUGUGUAAUCCCCGAGCUUAACUUGGGAACUGCAUCUCAGACUGGGGCGCUAGAGUACUGGAGAGGGUGGUAGAAUUCCACGUGGAGCGGUGCAGGGCGUAGAGAUGUGGAGGAAUCCCAGUGGCGAAGGCGGCCACCUGGACAGUACCUGACGCUUAGGCGCGAAACUGUGGGGAGCAAAAAG
Molecule: ribosomal RNA, 251 nt
Filed under: uncultured prokaryote
Description: partial 16S rRNA
Rfam family: Bacterial small subunit ribosomal RNA
Source: RNAcentral